UUUCUAUUGUUUAAUGUAAAUUUAUGUCUUUUUAGGAUAUGUUGAGGCAACAAAGAAGGCGCAGUUUGAAAAUGGAGUUAUUAGUAAUGAAGUAGCAGGCAUAUUUGGAAAAUUAUGCAGAUAAAAAGGAAGGAAUUUGGGAAAGCAAGUGCCUGGUUGCAGGAUAUCCAUGUAUUAAAAAGUAUUUAAUUAAAUUGUUUAAUAGAAAUGUUAUAAAUCGGGUGGCUCAUUUACGAUGUGCUCCAAACAUUUGGGAAACUUUUUUUUCGCCUUCUCAAUGUGCUAAGUAACAAGUUAAGACGACUGCCAUCACUGCCGGUAAGAAACCGCAAGCAAAGGGCAGACAACCUUCCAGGAAGCUGUCUCCUGUCCCUGAGUCGGAGCUGAAGUUCAGCAAGAAGCAGGUCAGCAAAUUGCUACCCUGAUCAAGCGUAAACUAAAGCGCUCUGCUCCGAUUAUACACUCCGUAAACGUGAAAACUUGGUGCAUGCUGACAAAUAUCAAACAAGAAAACUCCGUGAUGGACGCCGUGAGAUUGGCUUUUGUGAUCCGUAUCCGCGGUAUCAACAAAGUUGCACCACAUUAACCACGGUUUGUUCAUCAAAUUGAACAAGGCAACCAUUAAUAUGCUACGUAUGCUGAACCCUAUAUGGGGUUAUCCAAAUCUUAAAUCAGUUAGUGAAUUGAUUUACAGACGCGGAAUUGUCAAGCACAACCAUCAACGUGUCCCAAUCUCUGACAGCUUUCUGAUCGAAUGCAAAUUACGCAAAGCGCACGAAAUUCAGUGCGUUGAUUAUUUGGCGUACGAAAUAUUCACUGUUGGAACCCACUUCAAGAAAGCCUCCAACUUCCUGAUGCCAAUCAAGAUCAACACAUCAACCCGAGGCUGGCGCCAGAAGGCUAAUCACUACGUUGAGGUUGGUGAUUUCGGUAGCCGUGAG
Molecule: long non-coding RNA, 941 nt
Organism: Rhagoletis zephyria (snowberry fruit fly)
Lineage: Eukaryota; Metazoa; Arthropoda; Insecta; Diptera; Tephritidae
Source: RefSeq, a predicted model, not a curated record